CUCUCGGCAACGGAUAUCUCGGCUCUCGCAUCGAUGAAGAACGUAGCGAAAUGCGAUACUUGGUGUGAAUUGCAGAAUCCCGUGAACCAUCGAGUUUUUGAACGCAAGUUGCGCCCRAAGCCUUUUGGUCAGGGCACGUCUGCCUGGGCGUCACG
Molecule: ribosomal RNA, 155 nt
Filed under: Centema subfusca
Lineage: Eukaryota; Viridiplantae; Streptophyta; Magnoliopsida; Caryophyllales; Amaranthaceae
Rfam family: 5.8S ribosomal RNA
About the family: 5.8S ribosomal RNA (5.8S rRNA) is a component of the large subunit of the eukaryotic ribosome. It is transcribed by RNA polymerase I as part of the 45S precursor that also contains 18S and 28S rRNA.
Source: RNAcentral